UCGAGAAUUUUUCACAAUGGGCGAAAGCCUGAUGGAGCGACGCCGCGUGGGGGAUGAAUGGCUUCGGCCCGUAAACCCCUGUCAUUCGCGAGCAAACGUUAUUAUUUAAAAGAUGAUAGCCUGAUAGUAGCGAAAGAGGAAGGGACGGCUAACUCUGUGCCAGCAGCCGCGGUAAUACAGAGGUCCCAAGCGUUGCUCGGAUUUACUGGGCGUAAAGGGUGCGUAGGUGGUGGGGUAAGUCGGAUGUGAAAUCUACGAGCUCAACUCGGAAAGUGCAUUGGAAACUACCCUGCUAGAGGGUUGGAGGGGGGACUGGAAUACUUGGUGUAGCAGUGAAAUGCGUAGAUAUCAAGUGGAACACCAGUGGCGAAGGCGAGUCCCUGGACAACUCCUGACACUGAGGCACGAAAGCUAGGGGAGCAAACAG
This 427-nucleotide ribosomal RNA is filed under the name uncultured bacterium. Its description in RNAcentral is "bacterial SSU rRNA". It matches the Rfam family "Bacterial small subunit ribosomal RNA", at positions 355 to 775 of the family's 1533-position model. The record is from RNAcentral.